CCUACGGGAGGCUGCAGUGAGGAAUAUUGGUCAAUGGGCGGGAGCCUGAACCAGCCAAGCCGCGUGAGGGAAGAAGGUACAGCGUAUCGUAAACCUCUUUUGUCAGGGCACAAAGGCUGGGACUAGUCCCCGGAUGAGGGUACCUUAAGUACAAGCAUCGGCUAACUCCGUGCCCGCAGCCGCGGUAAUACGGGGGAUGCGAGCGUUAUCCGGAUUUAUUGGGUUAAAAGGGUGCGCAGGGGGACUGUUAAGUCAGCGGGAAAAGCCCGGGGCUCAACCCCGGCGAGCCGUUGAAACUGGCGGGCUGGAGUUGGAGAGAAGCACGCGGAAUGCGCGGUGUAGCGGUGAAAUGCUUAGAUAUCGCGCAGAACCCCGAUUGCGAAGGCAGCGUACCGGAUACAAACUGACGCUGAGGCACGAAAGCGUGGGUAUCGAACAGGAUUAGAUACCCGAGUAGUC
This 459-nucleotide ribosomal RNA is filed under the name uncultured bacterium. Its description in RNAcentral is "partial 16S ribosomal RNA". It matches the Rfam family "Bacterial small subunit ribosomal RNA", at positions 338 to 795 of the family's 1533-position model. The record is from RNAcentral.